This 468-nucleotide ribosomal RNA is filed under the name uncultured bacterium. Its description in RNAcentral is "partial 16S ribosomal RNA". It matches the Rfam family "Bacterial small subunit ribosomal RNA", at positions 28 to 507 of the family's 1533-position model. The record is from RNAcentral.
GACGAACGCUGGCGGCGUGCUUAACACAUGCAAGUCGAACGGAAAGGCCCUGCUUUUGUGGGGUGCUCGAGUGGCGAACGGGUGAGUAACACGUGAGUAACCUGCCCUUGACUUUGGGAUAACUUCAGGAAACUGGGGCUAAUACCGGAUAGGAGCUCCUGCUGCAUGGUGGGGGUUGGAAAGUUUCGGUGGUUGGGGAUGGACUCGCGGCUUAUCAGCUUGUUGGUGGGGUAGUGGCUUACCAAGGCUUUGACGGGUAGCCGGCCUGAGAGGGUGACCGGCCACAUUGGGACUGAGAUACGGCCCAGACUCCUACGGGAGGCAGCAGUGGGGAAUAUUGCACAAUGGGCGGAAGCUUGAUGCAGCAACGCCGCGUGCGGGAUGACGGCCUUCGGGUUGUAAACCGCUUUCGCCUGUGACGAAGCGUGAGUGACGGUAAUGGGUAGAGAAGCACCGGCUAACUACGUG